This 424-nucleotide ribosomal RNA is filed under the name uncultured prokaryote. Its description in RNAcentral is "bacterial SSU rRNA". It matches the Rfam family "Bacterial small subunit ribosomal RNA", at positions 355 to 796 of the family's 1533-position model. The record is from RNAcentral.
UGGGGAAUCUUGGACAAUGGGGGCAACCCUGAUCCAGCGACGCCGCGUGAGUGAAGAAGGCCUUAGGGUUGUAAAGCUCUUUCACCGGGGAGGAUGAUGACGUUACCCGGAGAAGAAGCACCGGCUAACUCCGUGCCAGCAGCCGCGGUAAGACGGAGGGUGCUAGCGUUGUUCGGAAUCACUGGGCGUAAAGGGCGCGUAGGCGGCUUGGUUAGUCAGAUGUGAAAGCCCAGGGCUCAACUCUGGAACUGCAUUUGAUACUCCCAAGCUUGAGGACGAAAGAGGAGAGUGGAAUACCCAGUGUAGAGGUGAAAUUCGUAGAUAUUGGGUGGAACACCAGUGGCGAAAGCGGCUCUCUGGUUCGAUACUGACGCUGAGGCGCGAAAGCGUGGGGAGCAAACAGGAUUAGAUACCCCCGUAGUCC